CUACGGGCUGCUGCAGUGAGGAAUAUUGCACAAUGGGGGGAACCCUGAUGCAGCAACGCCGCGUGGGGGAUGACGCAUUUCGGUGUGUAAACUCCUUUUAUAUGUCAAGAAAAUGACGGUAGCAUAUGAAUAAGCACCGGCUAGACUCCGUGCCAGCAGCCGCGGUAAUACGGAGGGUGCAAGCGUUACUCGGAAUCACUGGGCGUAAAGGACGCGUAGGCGGGUUGGAAAGUCAGGUGUGAAAUCCUACAGCUUAACUGUAGAACUGCACUUGAAACUUCUAAUCUAGAGUAUGGGAGGGGGAGAUGGAAUUAGUGGUGUAGGGGUAAAAUCCGUAGAUAUCACUAGGAAUACCUAAAGCGAAGGCGAUCUCCUGGAACAUUACUGACGCUAAGGCGUGAAAGCGUGGGGAGCAAACAGGAUUAGAUACCCCUGUAGUC
Molecule: ribosomal RNA, 440 nt
Filed under: uncultured bacterium
Lineage: Bacteria
Description: partial 16S ribosomal RNA
Rfam family: Bacterial small subunit ribosomal RNA
Source: RNAcentral